GAUGAACGCUGGCGGCGUGCCUAAUACAUGCAAGUCGAGCGAACAGACGAGGAGCUUGCUCCUCUGACGUUAGCGGCGGACGGGUGAGUAACACGUGGAUAACCCACCUAUAAGACUGGGAUCACUUCGGGAAACCGGCGAUAAUACCGGAUAAUAUAUUGCACCGCAUGGUUCAAUAGUGAAAGACGGUUUUGCUGUCUCUUAUCGAUGGAUCCGCGCCGCAUUAGCUAGUUGGUAAGGUAACGGCUUAUCAAGGGAACUAUGCGUAGCCGACCUGAGAGGGUGAUCGGCCACACUAGAACUGAGACACGGUCCAGACUCCUACGGGAGGCAGCAGUAGGGAAUCGUCCGCAGUGGGCGAAAGCUUGACGGAGCGACGCCGCGUGAGUGAUGAAAGUCUUCGGAUCGUGAAACUCUGUUAUUAGGGAAGAACAAAUGUGUAAGUAACUAUGCACGUCUUGACGGUACCUAAUCAGAAAGCCACGGCUAACUACGUG
RNAcentral lists this ribosomal RNA (497 nucleotides) under uncultured bacterium. RNAcentral's name for it is "partial 16S ribosomal RNA". It matches the Rfam family "Bacterial small subunit ribosomal RNA", at positions 28 to 507 of the family's 1533-position model. The record is from RNAcentral.